This 497-nucleotide ribosomal RNA is filed under the name uncultured bacterium. Its description in RNAcentral is "partial 16S ribosomal RNA". It matches the Rfam family "Bacterial small subunit ribosomal RNA", at positions 899 to 1397 of the family's 1533-position model. The record is from RNAcentral.
ACUCAAAGGAAUUGACGGGGGCCCGCACAAGCGGUGGAUGAUGUGGAUUAAUUCGAUGCAACGCGAAAAACCUUACCUGGUCUUGACAUGUCGAGAAUCCCUUAGAGAUAGGGGAGUGCCGCAAGGAACUCGAACACAGGUGCUGCAUGGCUGUCGUCAGCUCGUGUCGUGAGAUGUUGGGUUAAGUCCCGCAACGAGCGCAACCCUUGCCAUUAGUUGCUACCAUUUAGUUGAGCACUCUAAUGGGACUGCCGGUGACAAACCGGAGGAAGGUGGGGAUGACGUCAAGUCCUCAUGGCCCUUAUGACCAGGGCUUCACACGUCAUACAAUGGUCGGUACAGAGGGUCGCUAAGCCGCGAGGUGGUGCCAAUCUCAGAAAACCGAUCGUAGUCCGGAUUGCAGUCUGCAACUCGACUGCAUGAAGUCGGAAUCGCUAGUAAUCGCGGAUCAGCAUGUCGCGGUGAAUACGUUCCCGGGCCUUGUACACACCGCCCGU